Molecule: RNA transcript, 2581 nt
Organism: Loxodonta africana (African savanna elephant)
Lineage: Eukaryota; Metazoa; Chordata; Mammalia; Proboscidea; Elephantidae
Gene name: apoptosis-associated speck-like protein containing a CARD
Exons: 4
Source: RefSeq, a predicted model, not a curated record
UGACCGGCUGGGGCGCAGGCAAGAGUCCCCGGAAGGCGGGGAGCUCCAAGACCCGCCCCGGAGAAGACUUCCUGGUCGACGGCAGCUUCGGUCAGGUCGGGUGAGCUGCGGCAGCGGCGGGGGACCCCGGAACGAUGUGGCGCGCGCGCGACGCCAUCCUGGAGGCGCUGGAGUACCUGACCGCGGAUGAGCUCAGGAGGUUCAAGAUGAAGCUGCUCUCGGUGCAGCUGCGCGACGGCUACGGGCGCAUCCCGCGGGGGUCGCUGCUGCCCAUGGACGCCGUGGAUCUCACCGACAAGAUUGUCAGCUUUUAUCUGGAGGAGUACGGCGCCGAGCUCACGGCGGUGGUACUGCGCGAAAUUGGUAUGCGGGAGACCGCCGAGCAGCUGCAGAUGCAGAUCAACGGCCCUGGAGCCGCACCAGCCGCACUAGCUGCAUCCGCCCGUCCAGCCCCUGUUCAGAUGGCAGUCAAGACAGCAUCGCACUUUGUGGAUCAGCACCGGGCAGCCCUCAUCACACGGGUCACGGCAGUGGAUGGGGUGCUGGAUGCCCUGUAUGGGAAGGUUCUGACCGAGGAGCAGUACCAGGCAGUGCUGGCAGAGGCCACCAAUCCGAUGAAGAUGAGAAAGCUUUUCAGCUUUACUCCUGCCUGGAACCUGACCUGCAAGGACCUGCUCCUUCAGGCCCUGAGGGACACCCAGCCCUUCCUAGUGUCUGACCUGGAGAAGAGCUGAGGUGUCUUCCCCAGCAGCGGUCCCACAUCCAGCCCCUGGCAGUUCCAGCUAACUCACUCUGAGUCUGAUUUUUUUAUACACAAUAUAUGAAAAACCAGUUUGUACUCGUGUGUGUUUUUCCUCCUUCCAGCCUGAAAGCACUUGAAGAAAGAACUAAGCUAAAAUCCCAAAGACUGCAGAUUCAGGUCAUGGCAUCAGGUUCCCCAGACCAUGCUUCCUCAAUCCUUUCUGCUUCAGUCACCAUGGACUCUUUCCUCCUCAUUCAUCAUCUGGUGGCCCCUCCAGUACUACCCCUGAGAGUAAAAGCCUAGAUUGCCUUGACAGGACUACUGUUGGAGUUAUGGACAUCAGACAAUUCUAGUGAUGACUCAAGAAAAUGUGGAGAGCUGUUACAACGGAGAUGGCGCAGAUGGCAGUGAGAAGCAACAUCACAGAAACGCAGCAGCAGGGAAAACAGCAGCAGCAGAACCAGGAGACCUGUGCUAGAUGGUUCAGGAGCUGACCCAUGGAGUGAGAGCUGAGUGCCCUUACUGGUGGAGUGGGUACCUCCAAGCACUUAUGGUUAGAGCUACAGAGUUCUGGAACACUCACCGCAGCAGGGCGGACACAGGCGGUAAGGCCCGAGGGGCCAAGAAGCCAUGGAACCAGGAAGCAGAAGCCGAAGAAACAAGGAACACAGGAAACAGAGCUGCCUCAGUCUCAAAGAGUAGGGCCACAACUUCUGGGGUCUCAAAGGGUAGAGUCACCACUCAGAUUGACUAGAAUGGGGCCACCCAAAUUCGAGAGGACAGAGUUACCAUUUCAGUGGGCCUGGAAGACGGACUGAAGCCCAAGGUCAAGGGGCCUUCACUCACAAUCUGAAGAGUGUGGCCAACUCCUAGAGUCUGGAGGGCAGGGCCAUUGUCUUAAAUGGUCUCAAGAGAACAGAGGAUUAUUUUUAAGCCUUGAGAGCUAAUGUAGAGUGUUCUGCUGACUUGCUUGGUGCCUGUGAUUUAGGAAAUAAUAUUGGAAUCAUUAUUCCCUGUCCUAAAAUGUGACCCAGCUGAAGCUGGACUUACAAGGACACAUCAACUGGGACCUGAGGUAUAAAUAGCUAAGAUAAUCUUGUAAAAUAUCUUUAGGGAAACUUUCACAUAAACCAAACAAACAGAACACAAAAACUUUCCACUCCUAUCUUUUUCUAUUAGCAUUUAGUGAAUAGAAAAUUUGUUGGACCGAUGAGGGCCCUCCUGUCAUUAUUGAAACCUGUACCAAUUAUCAAGACAAUUCAAAAUGUCGGAUCAGUUUCUAGCCUGUGAAAAGGUGAAGCUUUCAGUGGUUUUGCCCAUUUGUAACAUUAAUAUACAUCCAUUUUCCCAUUCUUAUUCUGUAAUUUUCCUGGACUCAGGCAGACAUGGCUUUCGCAGCAUGCUUGUCCGUUCUCCCACUUUUUAUCUAUAAUUUCCUUGGACUCGGGCAGACAUAAGCUCCAGCAGUAUGCUUGUCAGCUUCCCACUUUUGCCUUUUUCAAUACAUCCCAAAUAAAAUUUUUGCUUUACGAAACUUUGUGAUGUUUUUUCCCUACAAAUCCUGUUAUCCCUUCUUUCCCUUCAAUUUCUCCCAUUUGUAAUGGAAAUGUCUAGUUUGUGCCUGUUCCACCAUUGUACUUUAGAAGCAGAUAACUUAUAUUCUUGAUUUCUGAAGACAGUUAUUUUUUGGAUUUUGGACUUGGAGUUAAGACUGUUGCUAUGAUAUGAUGGAGUCAAUGUGUAUUAUAUGUGGCAAGAAUAUGCAUUUUUGAGUGGCCAAAGGGUGGUAUGUUACAGAUUAAAUUGUAUCCCCCAAAAAUGUUUGCCAGUAUUGUAUGA